AGGAGAGGUGGCUGAGUGGUUUAAAGCGGCAGAUUGCUAAUCUGCUGUGCGAAAAUCUUCGUACCGAGGGUUCGAAUCCCUCUCUCUCCUU
Molecule: transfer RNA, 91 nt
Filed under: Gronococcus sybilensis
Lineage: Eukaryota; Rhodophyta; Bangiophyceae; Cavernulicolales; Cavernulicolaceae
Description: tRNA-Ser
Rfam family: tRNA
About the family: Transfer RNA (tRNA) molecules are approximately 80 nucleotides in length. Their secondary structure includes four short double-helical elements and three loops (D, anti-codon, and T loops).
Source: RNAcentral